RNAcentral lists this ribosomal RNA (318 nucleotides) under Ochromonas sp. CCMP1393. Its description in RNAcentral is "partial Bacterial large subunit ribosomal RNA". It matches the Rfam family "Bacterial large subunit ribosomal RNA", at positions 830 to 1148 of the family's 2925-position model. The record is from RNAcentral. Lineage: Eukaryota; Chrysophyceae; Chromulinales; Chromulinaceae.
CAAUCGAACCCGGAGCUAGCUGGUUCUCCCCGAAAUGUGUUUAGGCGCAGCGGUUAAUAUUAUAGCUUAGAGGUAAAGCACUGUUUCGGUGCGGGCGGCGAAAGCUGUACCAAAUCGAGACAAACUCAGAAUACCAGAUGCACACACAACCAGACAGACGGUGGGGGAUAAGCUUCAUCGUCAAGAGGGAAACAGCCCAGACCACCAGCUAAGGUCCCCAAAUUGUCACUAAGUGAUAAAGGAGGUGGGAGUGCAAAGACAACCAGGAGGUUUGCCUAGAAGCAGCCAUCCUUAAAAGAGUGCGUAAUAGCUCACUGG